This 498-nucleotide ribosomal RNA is filed under the name uncultured bacterium. Its description in RNAcentral is "partial 16S ribosomal RNA". It matches the Rfam family "Bacterial small subunit ribosomal RNA", at positions 29 to 523 of the family's 1533-position model. The record is from RNAcentral.
AUUGAACGCUGGCGGCAUGCUUUACACAUGCAAGUCGAACGGUAACAGGCCGCAAGGUGCUGACGAGUGGCGAACGGGUGAGUAAUGCAUCGGAACGUGCCCAGUCGUGGGGGAUAACGCAGCGAAAGCUGUGCUAAUACCGCAUACGAUCUAUGGAUGAAAGCGGGGGACCGUAAGGCCUCGCGCGAUUGGAGCGGCCGAUGUCAGAUUAGGUAGUUGGUGGGGUAAAGGCUCACCAAGCCAACGAUCUGUAGCUGGUCUGAGAGGACGACCAGCCACACUGGGAAUGAGACACGGCCCAGACUCCUACGGGAGGCAGCAGUGGGGAAUUUUGGACAAUGGGCGCAAGCCUGAUCCAGCAAUGCCGCGUGCAGGAAGAAGGCCUUCGGGUUGUAAACUGCUUUUGGACGGAACGAAAAGGUUUGGGUUAAGACCCUGGGCCGAUGACGGUACCGUAAGAAUAAGCACCGGCUAACUACGUGCCAGCCGCCGCCGUAA